GCCUCAUUAGCUCAGUUGGUAGAGCAGUUGCCUCUUAAGCAUCGGGUCCAAGGUUCGAGUCCUUGAUGGGGUA
Molecule: transfer RNA, 73 nt
Filed under: Prevotella sp.
Lineage: Bacteria; Pseudomonadati; Bacteroidota; Bacteroidia; Bacteroidales; Prevotellaceae
Description: tRNA-Lys
Rfam family: tRNA
About the family: Transfer RNA (tRNA) molecules are approximately 80 nucleotides in length. Their secondary structure includes four short double-helical elements and three loops (D, anti-codon, and T loops).
Source: RNAcentral